AUCACUUCUUGGCCUUUUGGCUAAGAUCAAGUGUAGGAAUAUAUUGAGAGUGGUUUUCCAUAUCAGUAAAUAUUUCCUGCUUAUAUUUACUAUGACAGUGCUUUUAUCAUUAUAAAAAUAACAAAGGACUUAUG
This 134-nucleotide small nuclear RNA is filed under the name Phocoena sinus (vaquita). RNAcentral describes it as "U2 spliceosomal RNA (ENSPSNG00000022623.1)". It matches the Rfam family "U2 spliceosomal RNA". Rfam says of the family: U2 is a small nuclear RNA (snRNA) component of the spliceosome (involved in pre-mRNA splicing). Complementary binding between U2 snRNA (in an area lying towards the 5' end but 3' to hairpin I) and the branchpoint sequence (BPS) of the intron results the bulging out of an unpaired adenosine, on the BPS, which initiates a nucleophilic attack at the intronic 5' splice site, thus starting the first of two transesterification reactions that mediate splicing. The record is from RNAcentral. Lineage: Eukaryota; Metazoa; Chordata; Mammalia; Artiodactyla; Phocoenidae.